AACCAGCACCUCAAGUGGUCAGGAUGAUUAUUGGGCCUAAAGCAUCCGUAGCCUGUUUUGCAAGUCUUCGGUUAAAUCCAUCAACUCAAGUGAUGGGCCGCCGGAGAUACUACAAAACUAGGGAAUGGGAGAGGUAGACGGUACUCGGUAGGAAGGGGUAAAAUCCUUUGAUCUAUUGAUGACCACCUGUGGCGAAGGCGGUCUACCAGAACAUGUUCGACGGUGAGGGAUGAAAGCUGGGGGAGCAAACCGG
Molecule: ribosomal RNA, 253 nt
Filed under: uncultured archaeon
Lineage: Archaea
Description: partial 16S ribosomal RNA
Rfam family: Archaeal small subunit ribosomal RNA
Source: RNAcentral